Molecule: long non-coding RNA, 760 nt
Filed under: Homo sapiens (human)
Lineage: Eukaryota; Metazoa; Chordata; Mammalia; Primates; Hominidae
Description: HSALNT0233301
Source: RNAcentral
CCCAGAGUGAAAGACAGAGGAACCAAUCGAGGCUCGGCUGACCUCAGACGUCUAAGGCGAUAGGCGUUGCUAAGAAAAGGGGGUGGGACGAUACCCAGUUGCCAAGACGACGGCUUCCGGGUGGGCGGCUUGAGGUGGCUUCCGGCCGCCAGGCGAGACUCCGCGGGAAAACUCCCUGCUAGAGAGACUAGGAGAUUUGGGGCUGCGGCCGUUUCCUCCGGAGCACCCACGGGACUGUGUGCUGGGGUCCCUCCACCGGCUGUGUCCUUUAUUCUUCUUUCUCACCCAACGAUUUACCUGAACGGUUAUAAAGUGCACGUUAUUUCCCUAAGCACUUUGAGUAUAUUGGCCCACUGCAUUCUGGACUUCAAAAUUUCUGAUGCGAAAUAUGCUGAUACUUUUGUUGAAGAAAUCUGGUCCUUCUUACUGAUGUGUUGCUCUUCUUCAUGGCUCGUGAAAACUAUUAGAGUCAUCCAAGAUGUGUCACAGGGCAGUCCUUGUUAGAGGAUAGUGAGAUGUGUUGAAUGGUGUCUUUGGGAUCCUCAAGCACAGAUUGUAAACUCUGCUUCAAGUUUUACAGUGUCUCAGAUUCAAAUCUUCUUUGCCUGCAAUGAUAAACAGAGACACAGCCUUCUCUGAAAACAAAUAUAUCUCAUAAGGAUGUCCUCCACUUCUCCAGUCCUCAUCCCGCACAGCCUAUAAGGUGCUGAGCAAUUGAUAGAUCCUAGAAAAGUCCUGAAGUGCUUCAAGCAAACAAAAG